ACCCUUAGAUGUCCGGGGCCGCACGCGCGCUACAAUGGAUGAAUCAACGCGUUUAUCCUGGCCCGAAAGGGUUGGGGAACCGCUGAACCUCAUCCGUGGUUGGGAUUGGGGUUUGUAAUUAUUCCCCAUGAACUAGGAAUUCCCAGUAAGCGCGAGUCAUAAGCUCGCGUUGAUUACGUCCCUGCCCUUUGUACACACCGCCCGUCGCUACUACCGAUUGGAUGGUUUAGUGAGAUCCUCGGAUUGGUCACGGCACGGUGGCAACACUGCGUCGGUGUGCCGAGAAGACGAUCAAACUUGAUCAUCUAGAGGAAGUAAAAGUCGUAACA
Molecule: ribosomal RNA, 329 nt
Filed under: uncultured eukaryote
Lineage: Eukaryota
Description: partial 18S ribosomal RNA
Rfam family: Eukaryotic small subunit ribosomal RNA
Source: RNAcentral